GUGAAUCAUCGAAUCUUUGAACGCAUAUUGCACUCCCUGGUAUUCCGGAGAGUAUGCCUGUUUGAGGGUAAUUAAUAAGAAUCUUUAACCAAUUUUUUUUGGUCAUAGGAAUUGAGUUUUCCGCGUUUCUAGCGGUAGCUUGAAAUAAAUGGUCAAGUUUCAUUUUAGUCGAGAGGAGUAUUAAU
This 185-nucleotide unclassified non-coding RNA is filed under the name Archaeospora ecuadoriana. RNAcentral describes it as "partial contains 5.8S ribosomal RNA and internal transcribed spacer 2". The stretch from base 1 to 71 matches the Rfam family "5.8S ribosomal RNA", at positions 84 to 154 of the family's 154-position model. Lineage: Eukaryota; Fungi; Glomeromycota; Glomeromycetes; Archaeosporales; Archaeosporaceae. The record is from RNAcentral.